UUAGUAUUUUUUUUUUUCAAAGAGGGUUUUGAUUAGUAUUCAUUGUUAACUUGCACAGUAUACUAAUAAUGUUAAUUGUAUGAGUUUUACAGAAGCAUUCCAGCAUAACAAAUCUCCGACAGAGUUUGGAUAAAAUGUUUUACAACUUUAUUAGAUGGAGAGACUAGAGAAUGUGGGUUUCUAAGAGCAACUACAACAGGGGC
Molecule: long non-coding RNA, 203 nt
Filed under: Capsella rubella
Lineage: Eukaryota; Viridiplantae; Streptophyta; Magnoliopsida; Brassicales; Brassicaceae
Description: long non-coding RNA (CRUB_LNC002891)
Source: RNAcentral